AAUGAUAACAAAAGAGAUUGAAAAAAUGUAUUAAAAUAGAAUAAUAAUUAUAAAAGCAGUCAUACAAAAAAGAUUAGAUGUGAGUUUAGUGGUUUAGUACAGAUGUCGAUCUCUAGUGUUGUUAGUUUUUUAGUGUUAAAGGAAACAGAAAGAAAAACCAGCAUGGAGGAUUAUCAUCACAUUCAGCAUGAAGAGCAGCGUCUGAAUCGGCUUCUCUCCUUUUAUUCAUCACUUCAGAGAAACAAGCCUCAGCCUGAAAUCUGACCAAGUUUAGAUCCUGACAGAAAAAUAAACCUGAGAUGACAGAAGUCUGAACUCUGUUCAAUAAUUCACUGAUCAAUUCACUACAAACUAACCAUGCGAGUGCAGCUAGUCAGCUAUUAACUAUUUAUUGAUGCACUUAUCAAUCUUGAUGUCCCAUUGAAAAGCUUUCUUAUUUCAACAUAAACACUGAGCUAACUAUAUGAGCUGGUUAGCUAUUUAAAUCUAACAACUAGUAGCUAUGUUUAGGUGCUGAAACUCAGUGAAGGAGGUUUAGCUGAAAAGCUCUUGAUCGACUCUUGAUGUCCUUCACUGCAGACGCAAAGCUAACUACGUAAGUUAGGACUAGUUAGCUAGUUAAAGCUAACCUCUUGCUGCUGAGUGCGAGGCCUGGAAGGUUUUAAAAGACUUAUUUUUAAAAGGCUAAUUUUGAUUUAGAUUUUUCUCAUCUGUUGAUGUGACUUUAAUUUUCUUUCCUUCAUUAAAAAGUGGAGUACCACAACUUCAGCUAUUUAGCUUGCUAAAGCUAACAGCUAUGUAGUUAAUUCAACUACCAUAAGAUGUUUAGCAAGCCUUUGUUAAUAUCAGAUCAGUCUUUGAUCGACUUGAGUUUCCCUUUCAAAUAUUCAGAUUUUUUUUCUAUAGAUCUAAAUAUUAAGCUAAAGAUUGUUAGCUAGUUGAAUGUAACUGCUACCAGUUCAUUUUAACUGAUGGAAGAUUGUGAAAAAAGCUUUAAUUUUGACCGCCAAUGACAGCUUGAUGGUCACAGCUAGUUAGCUAUUUACAGCUAGCAGCUACUGGCACCUGGAAGCUCUAGAUCAGGGGUCUCAAACUCCAGUCCUCGGGGGCCGCAGUCCUGCAACUUUUAAAUGUGUCUCUGCUGCAUCACCUGAAUAGAAUAAUUAGGUCAUUAAGGUUCUGGAGAACUGAUCUACACAAGGAGGAGGAAUGAAGCCGUUUCAUUCCAGUGUUUUGUACCUGUGGCUCAUCUAAAACCUGCAGGACAGCGACUGGAGGCCUGGAGUUUGAGACCUGGAAGCUCUAGAAGGAAGAUCAACUAUAAAAACAGUCUGCAGUUGUACAUCUAAUGAUUUCAAUAAAUCAAAACGUUUUUUCUGAGGUAAAGUUUGUCAUGGAAGAAGACUUAGGAAGAAAACCAAACAAAUAACGUACAGCUAUCUGAACUAUUUCCGGAUUGCAGCUUUGCCUGGAACACCAGCCAACAAUAUGAAAAACUGCGAGUAAUCUUUGUUUUUCUAACUUCAUUCACUUUAAUUCGGCUUCAAGAAGCUUUACGAACAGCCAACUAACUCAGCAUUUGCCCAAGUUAACCCGGUACUUGAGUCUGGAGUGGAGGAUUUAUGUUUUUCAGGAAUGACAAUCGUUCCUUCAGACUGUUGUUGUCUCUCUGCUGUCAAAGUCAGUACAACGAAGGGAAGCUAGUUCUGCUCUUACAUCUCCGACCUGGAGGGUAAAAUGCCCUUUUAAUUUAUUUAAAAUAAUAACUUGUAUCUGAAUGCUGUAGAUUCUCUCCUGUUUGGUGUACAAAUAGAGAAAAUACACCAUGAAACGUUGCAACAUCUGCAGGUUGGGACUGAACAAAGUUACAGAAACAGCUAAACCCCUUUAGCAACACGUCACUAACAGCCUGCGGGAGACGUUGCUGCAGCGCCGGCUGAGCAUGUUGGGAUGAAAGCAGGCGCCGCUGGACGGCGAGCCGCGCGCAGCAGUCUGAAUGGAGAGGAGGUGACAACCAUAAUAAUGGAGGAAGGUCAGAGGUCGCCCUGAGCAGGUGGCAACCACAGAAAAGCUUCAAAAACGGAGCGCUGAGUCGGCGGAAAGGAACGCGCUCCCUCAGCAGACCUCACAGAGUGACGGAAACGUUUGGCUAGUUUGUGUUUUCAGACCGUUUGCUGUCAGUCAGAAGCCGCUGUUUCUGUUUGAACGACUUCCUGAGAAAAAAGCUUCCUGUGGUCUGAAAGCUGCUGCCGGCGCCGGAGUCCGGCUUCCAUCAGCGGCUGUUUCUGUCCAUCAACUUUAGCUGCUCUGAGGUUAGCCAACUUAGCAUAAAGACUGGAUAGCGUCCAGGUUAGCCUAGCUUAGCAUAAAGUCUGGAUCACAUCCAGGUUAGCCUAGCUUAGCAUAAAGACUGGAUAGCAUCCAGGUUAGCCUAGCUUAGCAUAAAGACUUCAUAGUGUCCAGGUUAGCAUAGCUUAGCAUAAAGACUGGAAGCAGAGGGAAACUGCUAGCAUUGCUCAGAUUAAACACUUUUAACCAGUAUAAAUGAUCCCACCGUCUGAUUAUCUGUGGAGUUUUCAUAAAAAAAUAACUAUUCUCACAUUCAUUGUCUUUAAAAACUCAUUUUGUAAGAUGGAUAUCUAUAAAUCCAAACUAUCAAAUAAGAACGUUUUGAUUUUAUUUUGCCUGAACAUCUGAAUUUUAAAAAUACUAUUUCAUUUGUAACUGAGAUCAAUGAAUUAAUAAAUCAGAAUUUAAUGUUUUUCAAAGCAGAACAACCCGAGUUUUGGUGAAAUAAGAGGCUGUCAUGUAAAGCUGGGCAUAAACUCACAUUUUUGUCAAAGUAAUCAUGUGUCAUCCAUUGCGUAGCACAAUGGUGGUAAAACUUCACGACCGACUUCCCAUCAGUAAUCAGGCCUGUUUGAAAUUCUGGUCGCCCCGGUGAAGGUGUUGCCCUGUGGCAGCAGCCCUUCAGCUGAACGCUUCUCAGCAAAGCAUAUAAGCAACCUGACAUAAUAUAAUACUAUAAUACUUAAAUAUUGAUUGAAAAAAAAUUGAAAUACUGGAAAUAACAAACUUUAAACAACACAUGAAAAUAAAUAUGAAUUUAAGGUUCACUCAUCUCUCUCACGUUAGCAUUAGCAUACGUUUUCAAAUACAAAACCGCUGCAGUAAAAGCUUGCAGCUAACUCUAGUGGAGUUAAAGUUGGCGUCUCCUCGCCGUCUGUGAAGGUACUCUGUCAAAAAUUAUCAGCCAAAAUGAUUAUUCAUCCUGUCAUAAUAAAAAUAAUUGGUUCAUUUUUCAAAGUCAUAUUUUCAUCAUGUUAUUCAGAUAUAUAUUCCACAGUUGCAAACUAAAUAUUAGACUGAAGCUAAUUAUUGAGCUUACAUAUAAAUAUUCAGGUAAUAUACAGAUUCACUUGGACUAUCAAAAUAAAAGUUGUGUUUUCUGAAACCUUUAAUUAAACUCCAGCUUUCAAAUCGCUUUGAAUCACAACUUUAUCGUAAUUUCCCUCUUUUCCUGAACAACAUUGCAGCUUAAAGGAUGAGCUAAUUCAGAGCUAGCUAAACAUUAGGCUAGCUCUGACAUAAAUAUUUAACAUUGAGCUAAAUAUUUGGCUUUCUAAAUAAAUGUUUAGGUUUGAGCCAAAUAUUUACUUAGAAUAGUAAAUAUUUAGUUAGCUAGCUAAAAUGAACUGCCAUGUUUUUCUCAUAUGACCGGCUAAAUAACACAAAUUAUUGUUUUUCUUUUUCUUCUCUAGACUCAAGGCUACGACGUGUCGCUAACGCACGCACAGUGAGAUAAAAGGAUUUGCGAUGCUGACCGCUGUUUGAUCUGGACCUGAACAUACGGAGCUUUAUGUUAUCUAUAAAGUGGUUUAUGGAUUCAUGACACUUUGUUGUUCUGGUUCUGACGAAGCACCAAACCAGCUGUUCUUAGAAAUGUGGUGGAAAUCUAAAAAUCUGUUUUUUUAAAGUCUGUAGUGAAGAUAAACUCUGAGGAGGAAACUGACUUUGAGCUGCUUCCAUUCACUGCUGCUGCUAUAAAAAGGUGAUCAGAACCGAUCAGAACCGAUCAGAACCGGGUCUAAAACUGGCCUUAAAGUUGUAGAUCGGGUGUAAACCUCUUUCCAUGUUGCCAUAGAAACUUAAAAGCUGAGUUCAUGCUUGUGCUACGUAACUUUUAUCACGUGAAAGUGUUUUAAUGUGACUAUAAUUAUGUGCAGUAAAGUGUGAAUAUAA
Molecule: long non-coding RNA, 4242 nt
Organism: Xiphophorus couchianus (Monterrey platyfish)
Lineage: Eukaryota; Metazoa; Chordata; Actinopteri; Cyprinodontiformes; Poeciliidae
Exons: 2
Source: RefSeq, a predicted model, not a curated record